UAGGGAAUCUUCCACAAUGGACGCAAGUCUGAUGGAGCAACGCCGCGUGAGUGAAGAAGGUCUUCGGAUCGUAAAGCUCUGUUGUUGGUGAAGAAGGAUAGAGGCAGUAACUGGUCUUUAUUUGACGGUAAUCAACCAGAAAGUCACGGCUAACUACGUGCCAGCAGCCGCGGUAAUACGUAGGUGGCAAGCGUUGUCCGGAUUAUUGGGCGUAAAGCGAGC
This 222-nucleotide ribosomal RNA is filed under the name uncultured bacterium. RNAcentral describes it as "partial 16S ribosomal RNA". It matches the Rfam family "Bacterial small subunit ribosomal RNA", at positions 355 to 570 of the family's 1533-position model. The record is from RNAcentral.